RNAcentral lists this ribosomal RNA (449 nucleotides) under uncultured bacterium. RNAcentral's name for it is "bacterial SSU rRNA". It matches the Rfam family "Bacterial small subunit ribosomal RNA", at positions 355 to 796 of the family's 1533-position model. The record is from RNAcentral.
UGGGGAAUUUUGGACAAUGGGCGCAAGCCUGAUCCAGCAAUGCCGCGUGAGUGAAGAAGGCCUUCGGGUUGUAAAGCUCUUUUGUCAGGGAAGAAACGGUGCGGGCUAAUAUCCUGUGCUAAUGACGGUACCUGAAGAAUAAGCACCGGCUAACUACGUGCCAGCAGCCGCGGUAAUACGUAGGGUGCGAGCGUUAAUCGGAAUUACUGGGCGUAAAGCGUGCGCAGGCGGUUAUGUAAGACAGAUGUGAAAUGCCCGGGCUUAACCUGGGAACUGCAUUUGUGACUGCAUGGCUAGAGUGUGUCAGAGGGGGGUAGAAUUCCACGUGUAGCAGUGAAAUGCGUAGAUAUGUGGAGGAAUACCGAUGGCGAAGGCAGCCCCCUGGGAUAACACUGACGCUCAUGCACGAAAGCGUGGGGAGCAAACAGGAUUAGAUACCCCCGUAGUCC